Molecule: ribosomal RNA, 441 nt
Filed under: uncultured bacterium
Lineage: Bacteria
Description: partial 16S ribosomal RNA
Rfam family: Bacterial small subunit ribosomal RNA
Source: RNAcentral
CCUACGGGAGGCAGCAGUGGGGAAUAUUGCACAAUGGGGGAAACCCUGAUGCAGCAACGCCGCGUGAGUGAAGAAGUAUUUCGGUAUGUAAAGCUCUAUCAGCAGGGAAGUAGAAAGACGGUACCUGACCAAGAAGCCCCGGCUAACUACGUGCCAGCAGCCGCGGUAAUACGUAGGGGGCAAGCGUUAUCCGGAUUUACUGGGUGUAAAGGGAGCGUAGACGGCUGUGCAAGUCUGAAGUGAAAGCCCGUGGCUCAACCGCGGAACUGCUUUGGAAACUGUAUAGCUUGAGUACUGGAGAGGCAGGCGGAAUUCCUAGUGUAGCGGUGAAAUGCGUAGAUAUUAGGAGGAACACCAGUGGCGAAGGCGGCCUGCUAGACAGAAACUGACGUUGAGGCUCGAAAGCGUGGGGAGCAAACAGGAUUAGAUACCCCAGUAGUC